AACGAACGCUGGCGGCAUGCCUAACACAUGCAAGUCGAACGAGACCUUCGGGUCUAGUGGCGCACGGGUGCGUAACGCGUGGGAACCUGCCCUUAGGUUCGGAAUAACUCCCCGAAAGGGGUGCUAAUACCGGAUAAUGUCUUCGGACCAAAGAUUUAUCGCCUUUGGAUGGGCCCGCGUUGGAUUAGCUAGUUGGUAGGGUAAAAGCCUACCAAGGCGACGAUCCAUAGCUGGUCUGAGAGGAUGAUCAGCCACACUGGGACUGAGACACGGCCCAGACGCCAAGGGGAGGAGGAAGGGGGGAAAAUGGGACAAGGGGCGAAAGCCGGAUCCAGAAAGGCCGGGGGAGUGAUAAAGGCUUUGGGGUGGAAAGGCUCUUUUACCCGGGAGGGAAAGAAAGGAACGGGGAAAAAAGGCCCGGCUAAAUUCGGU
RNAcentral lists this ribosomal RNA (432 nucleotides) under uncultured bacterium. Its description in RNAcentral is "partial 16S ribosomal RNA". It matches the Rfam family "Bacterial small subunit ribosomal RNA", at positions 29 to 507 of the family's 1533-position model. The record is from RNAcentral.